GGGGGCGGGCUUAAACAUGCAAGUCGAGCGGGGAAGGGUAGCUUGCUACCUAACCUAGCGGCGGACGGGUGAGUAAUGCUUAGGAAUCUGCCAUUUAGUGGGGGACAACAUUCCGAAAGGAAUGCUAAUACCGCAUACGUCCUACGGGAGAAAGCAGGGGAUCUUCGGACCUUGCGCUAAAUGAUGAGCCUAAGUCGGAUUAGCUAGUUGGUGGGGUAAAGGCCUACCAAGGCGACGAUCUGUAGCGGGUCUGAGAGGAUGAUCCGCCACACUGGGACUGAGACACGGCCCAGACUCCUACGGGAGGCAGCAGUGGGGAAUAUUGGACAAUGGGCGGAAGCCUGAUCCAGCCAUGCCGCGUGUGUGAAGAAGGCCUUAUGGUUGUAAAGCACUUUAAGCGAGGAGGAGGCUACUAGUAUUAAUACUACUGGAUAGUGGACGUUACUCGCAGAAUAAGCACCGGCUAACUCUGUGCCAGCAGCCGCGGUAAUACAGAGGGUGCGAGCGUUAAUCGGAUUUACUGGGCGUAAAGCGUGCGUAGGCGGCUUUUUAAGUCGGAUGUGAAAUCCCCGAGCUUAACUUGGGAAUUGCAUUCGAUACUGGGAAGCUAGAGUAUGGGAGAGGAUGGUAGAAUUCCAGGUGUAGCGGUGAAAUGCGUAGAGAUCUGGAGGAAUACCGAUGGCGAAGGCAGCCAUCUGGCCUAAUACUGACGCUGAGGUACGAAAGCAUGGGGAGCAAACAGGAUUAGAUACCCUGGUAGUCCAUGCCGUAAACGAUGUCUACUAGCCGUUGGGGCCUUUGAGGCUUUAGUGGCGCAGCUAACGCGAUAAGUAGACCGCCUGGGGAGUACGGUCGCAAGACUAAAACUCAAAUGAAUUGACGGGGGCCCGCACAAGCGGUGGAGCAUGUGGUUUAAUUCGAUGCAACGCGAAGAACCUUACCUGGCCUUGACAUACUAGAAACUUUCCAGAGAUGGAUUGGUGCCUUCGGGAAUCUAGAU
This 1000-nucleotide ribosomal RNA is filed under the name Acinetobacter sp. SZ-1. RNAcentral describes it as "bacterial SSU rRNA". It matches the Rfam family "Bacterial small subunit ribosomal RNA", at positions 38 to 1033 of the family's 1533-position model. Lineage: Bacteria; Pseudomonadati; Pseudomonadota; Gammaproteobacteria; Moraxellales; Moraxellaceae. The record is from RNAcentral.